UACAGAGGGUGCGAACGUUGUUCGGAAUCACUGGGCAUAAAGCGCACGUAGGCGGUGCCGCAAGUGUGGAGUGAAAUCCCACGGCUCAACCGUGGAACUGCUUGGUAUACUGCGGGUCUUGAGCCAUCUAGGGGCAACCGGAACAAACGGUGGAGCGGUGAAAUGCGUAGAUAUCGUUUGGAACGCCAAUGGUGAAAACAGGUUGCUGGGGAUGUGCUGACGCUGAGACACGAAAGCCAGGGGAGCAAACGGG
RNAcentral lists this ribosomal RNA (253 nucleotides) under uncultured prokaryote. RNAcentral describes it as "partial 16S ribosomal RNA". It matches the Rfam family "Bacterial small subunit ribosomal RNA", at positions 524 to 776 of the family's 1533-position model. The record is from RNAcentral.